This 76-nucleotide transfer RNA is filed under the name Pseudomonas sp. RNAcentral's name for it is "tRNA-Ala". It matches the Rfam family "tRNA". Rfam says of the family: Transfer RNA (tRNA) molecules are approximately 80 nucleotides in length. Their secondary structure includes four short double-helical elements and three loops (D, anti-codon, and T loops). RNAcentral also lists the same sequence under 46 other names. The record is from RNAcentral. Lineage: Bacteria; Pseudomonadati; Pseudomonadota; Gammaproteobacteria; Pseudomonadales; Pseudomonadaceae.
GGGGCUAUAGCUCAGCUGGGAGAGCGCUACAAUGGCAUUGUAGAGGUCAUCGGUUCGAUCCCGAUUAGCUCCACCA